UUACCUCAGUAACGGCGAGUGAAGCGGUAAAAGCUCAAAUUUGAAAUCUGGCUCUUUUAGAGUCCGAAUUGUAAUUUGUAGAAGAUGCUUCGGGUGUGGUUCCGGUCUAAGUUCCUUGGAACAGGACGUCAUAGAGGGUGAGAAUCCCGUAUGUGACUGGAUACCUAUGCUCAUGUGAAGCUCUUUCCGACGAGUCGAGUUGUUUGGGAAUGCAGCUCAAAAUGGGAGGUAUAUUUCUUCUAAAGCUAAAUAUUGGCCAGAGACCGAUAGCGCACAAGUAGAGUGAUCGAAAGAUGAAAAAGCACUUUGGAAAGAGAGUUAAACAGUACGUGAAAUUGUUGAAAGGGAAGCGCUUGCAAUCAGACUUGCACUUGGUGUUCAUCAGGGUCUCGUACCCUGUGUACUUCAUCAAGUUCAGGCCAGCAUCAGUUUGAGUGGUUAGAUAAAGGCUUAGAGAAUGUGGCCCUCUUCGGGGGGUGUUAUAGCUCUAGGUGCAAUGUAGCCUACUUGGACUGAGGACCGCGCUUCGGCUAGGAUGCUGGCGUAAUGGUUGUAAGCGACCCGUCUUGAAACACGGACCAAGGAGUGUACCUAAUAUGCGAGUGUUUGGGUGUUAAACCCAUACGCGUAAUGAAAGUGAACGCUGGUGAGAACCCUUAAGGGUGCAUCAUCGACCGAUCUUGAUGUCUUCGGAUGGAUUUGAGUAAGAGCAUAUUGGGUGCGACCCGAAAGAUGGUGAUCUAUACGUGAAUAGGGUGAAGCCAGAGGAAACUCUGGUGGAGGCUCGCAGCGGUUCUGACGUGCAAAUCGAUCGUCAAAUUUGCGUAUAGGGGCGAAAGACUAAUCGAACCAUUAAGGAAUAGACCAAGCUCUAGGUGGUUGAGAAACCCCCCUUGGGGGUAUUAGUCCUGGGAGACAGGGCGACAUUGUCAAAUUGUUCGGGGACCACCUGUUAAAUUACAUACUACCGCAGCAGUGCUGAAAGGCCUGUGAGCACUAGAGGUAACGCCUCUAGGGAUGGUAAUAACGUAUGUAUAGGGUAUAUCCGCAGCGAAGUUCUAAGGCCUCACGGCUACGAAUCGCGUUCACAGACUAGACGGCAAUGGGCUCCUAACGGGGCUUAAGAUAUAGUCGAACCCCUCAGAGAUGAGGAUGAA
Molecule: ribosomal RNA, 1157 nt
Filed under: Botryotinia convoluta
Lineage: Eukaryota; Fungi; Ascomycota; Leotiomycetes; Helotiales; Sclerotiniaceae
Description: LSU rRNA
Rfam family: Eukaryotic large subunit ribosomal RNA
Source: RNAcentral